GCCGACUCUCCACGGCAGAAGGUUUUAAGUAUGCUUAUGUUUAUUUCAGUCAAGUUAGGACAAUUUCUUUCGGGCCCUAGUGCUCAUCGGAUCUUAACAGAGUUUUGUGUAACAUAUCGGAUAACGCAUUUGAGUAAAAGUAGUUUACGGGUUAACACUGUCAAACUAAGCAAAACCAUCAUAAUAACGAAAUUUUCAGACUAAGCGAA
This 209-nucleotide unclassified non-coding RNA is filed under the name Hevea brasiliensis (rubber tree). Lineage: Eukaryota; Viridiplantae; Streptophyta; Magnoliopsida; Malpighiales; Euphorbiaceae. The record is from RNAcentral.